GAUGAAGAACGUAGUGAAAUGCGAUAAGUAAUGUGAAUUGCAGAAUUCAGUGAAUCAUCGAAUCUUUGAACGCACAUUGCGCCCCUUGUUAUUCCGAGGGGCAUGCCUGUUCGAGCGUCAUUAUAACCCCUCAAGCUCAGCUUGGUGUUGGGGCCUGCCGCACGGGCAGCCCUUAAAAUCAGUGGCGGUGCCAUCUGGCUCUAAGCGUAGUAAUUCUUCUCGCUAUAGAGUCCCGGUGGAUGCUUGCCAUUAACCCCCAAUUUUCUAUGGUUGACCUCGGAUCAGGUAGGGAUACCCGCUGAACUUAAGCAUAUCAAUAAGCGGAGGA
This 328-nucleotide unclassified non-coding RNA is filed under the name soil metagenome. RNAcentral's name for it is "partial contains 5.8S ribosomal RNA, internal transcribed spacer 2, and large subunit ribosomal RNA". The stretch from base 1 to 120 matches the Rfam family "5.8S ribosomal RNA", at positions 35 to 154 of the family's 154-position model. The record is from RNAcentral.